GUCUAUGGCCAUGCCACCGUGAACGUGCCCGAUCUCAUCUGAUCUCGGAAACUAAGCAGGGUCGGGCCUGGUUAGUACUUAGAUGGGAGACUAUCUAGAAAUACCAGGUUCUAUAGGCA
Molecule: ribosomal RNA, 119 nt
Filed under: Pteropus alecto (black flying fox)
Lineage: Eukaryota; Metazoa; Chordata; Mammalia; Chiroptera; Pteropodidae
Source: RNAcentral